GACGAACGCUGGCGGCGUGCCUAAUACAUGCAAGUCGUGCGGACCUUUUAAAAGCUUGCUUUUAAAAGGUUAGCGGCGGACGGGUGAGUAUCACGUGGGCAACCUGCCUGUAAGACUGGGAUAACGCCGGGAAACCGGGGCUAAUACCAGAUCGUUUUUUCCUCCGCAUGGAGGAAAAAGGAAAGGCGGCUUCGGCUGCCACUUACAGAUGGGCCCGCGGCGCAUUAGCUAGUUGGCGGGGUAACGGCCCACCAAGGCAACGAUGCGUAGCCGACCUGAGAGGGUGAUCGGCCACAUUGGGACUGAGACACGGCCCAAACUCCUACGGGAGGCAGCAGUAGGGAAUCUUCCGCAAUGGACGAAAGUCUGACGGAGCAACGCCGCGUGAGGGAAGAAGGCCUUCGGGUCGUAAAACUCUGUUGCCGGGGAAGAACAAGUGCCGUUCGAACAGGGCGGCGCCUUGACGGUACCCGGCCAGAAAGCCACGGCUAACUACGUG
This 499-nucleotide ribosomal RNA is filed under the name uncultured bacterium. RNAcentral's name for it is "partial 16S ribosomal RNA". It matches the Rfam family "Bacterial small subunit ribosomal RNA", at positions 28 to 507 of the family's 1533-position model. The record is from RNAcentral.